UCAUUGCAUUAUACUACUAAGAUGUCCUUUUGAAAUUGUGUAUGGUCUCAUGUCUGUAAGUGCAUCUAGUGCCCUUAGUGAUUUUGGUGGUCUGAAGACUUAUAGGUUAAGGAACUAGUGUGUUUGUAAGUGUACACAGGCUAUAUAAGUCGCUGAGGAGUUUGAGUUAUACGAUGAAUAUAGACCCCUAAAAAUGAAUGUCUUCGGCUGAAGAAUUUGGUCUUAACUUGAAGACUUUGAUCGCGAAGAAAUUGCGAUGAAAUUGAUAUUCCUCAUGAAGAUAUUGAAGAUGAGGAACUUGGUGUGUCCUGGAGAAAAACAGUCAACAUCAUCAAGUGAGGAAAUACCCCAAACACCAAACCCCAAACCAAAAAACAAGUGAGGAAAUACCCCAAACCAAAAACCAAGUGAUUGAGCAUCACUGAAGAAUUUGUUCCUGUGUCAAACUGAAG
Molecule: long non-coding RNA, 452 nt
Filed under: Hordeum vulgare
Lineage: Eukaryota; Viridiplantae; Streptophyta; Magnoliopsida; Poales; Poaceae
Description: long non-coding RNA (HVUL_LNC009567)
Source: RNAcentral